GCCGAACUGUAACCGGGUCGUCAGAAAGAAAUAAUCCAAGACUUGUUUAAUAUCAUCCAUAGGACUUUGGGGAAGCAGCUGACACUACUCUGAUUUGUGAACGAUCUAAGAGGAGGAAACGAAUACCAGCUGGUGAUGAAAUCAGCAACAGUGAGUGGACAGAUGAUUGGAGCAGAUGAAGACUGACAAGAAGCAUCAUAAACAUCCACCCACUGGUGGUGAAGCUGCAGGAGGAAAACCACCAGCUCCUCUUUGCCAACCCUUAAUGAACCGCUGAGGUCCAGCACAAGUCAUUCCUGAACAGGAACUCCACGCAGAUGCUGAAAGACUCAAACUAGAGGUGGUAAAUGAGCAUCAAUGCUGAAGAUUUUCACAAUAAAAGAGCCAGACUCAAAUGGUAUAUUAAAGGGAUGGACAACCCUGGUCCUCCAGUGCCACAUUCCUGCAUGUUUUCCAACAUAACGUGCUCUGGCAUGUGUCUUAGUUCUUUCAGUCAUCAGAGUGAAUAUACUGUAUAAAUAAAAAUGUCUUUAUACUACA
Long non-coding RNA from Oryzias melastigma (Indian medaka), 540 nucleotides. RefSeq lists it as uncharacterized. Lineage: Eukaryota; Metazoa; Chordata; Actinopteri; Beloniformes; Adrianichthyidae. The transcript is spliced from 2 exons. The record is from RefSeq and is a predicted model, not a curated record.